UUUUUUUUUUUUUUUUUUUUUUUGGUGAAUCACUUGGGCCGCAGAAUAUGUCAACUAUGCCUGAUUGGAAUUUCCAUUUUGGCCAUAAUUUUUGUGCCUCAAGAAAUGCAGAUCCUACGUAUGGUUUUGGCAACUUUGGGAGGAGCGUUUUCUUUUGUUUCUGUUGGCUGUACUGCUGUGCAUGCAAAUGAGCUACUUCCCACUAUAAUCAGAGGAAGAGUCUCCAGACAAGCAAAGCAUAAAGAUACUUUCAUCAAAGUGACACAGUUUUAAGGAACUCCAAGAACUGAAAUCUGAUAAGCAGCAAGAUAAGAAAACUAUCACUGAGAUUUAAGAUGGUCCAGGUUCACUCUAGAUAUAGCAAAAUUCUUAAUCAAAUAACAUAGCAAAAAGUUUGUAUUAAAUUUAAAAUUUCCAUACUCAACUGAUACACAAAUUAUCUCAAUAACAAAAU
RNAcentral lists this long non-coding RNA (454 nucleotides) under Mus musculus (house mouse). RNAcentral's name for it is "predicted gene, 58356". Lineage: Eukaryota; Metazoa; Chordata; Mammalia; Rodentia; Muridae. The record is from RNAcentral.